UGCAAGUCGAACGAUGACUCUCUAGCUUGCUAGAGAAGAUUAGUGGCGGACGGGUGAGUAACAUUUAGGAAUCUGCCUAGUAGUGGGGGAUAGCUCGGGGAAACUCGAAUUAAUACCGCAUACGACCUACGGGUGAAAGGGGGCGCAAGCUCUUGCUAUUAGAUGAGCCUAAAUCAGAUUAGCUAGUUGGUGGGGUAAAGGCCCACCAAGGCGACGAUCUGUAACUGGUCUGAGAGGAUGAUCAGUCACACCGGAACUGAGACACGGUCCGGACUCCUACGGGAGGCAGCAGUGGGGAAUAUUGGACAAUGGGGGCAACCCUGAUCCAGCCAUGCCGCGUGUGUGAAGAAGGCCUUUUGGUUGUAAAGCACUUUAAGCAGGGAGGAGAGGCUAAUGGUUAAUACCCAUUAGAUUAGACGUUACCUGCAGAAUAAGCACCGGCUAACUCUGUGCCAGCAGCCGCGGUAAUACAGAGGGUGCGAGCGUUAAUCGGAAUUACUGGGCGUAAAGCGAGUGUAGGUGGCUCAUUAAGUCACAUGUGAAAUCCCCGGGCUUAACCUGGGAACUGCAUGUGAUACUGGUGGUGCUAGAAUAUGUGAGAGGGAAGUAGAAUUCCAGGUGUAGCGGUGAAAUGCGUAGAGAUCUGGAGGAAUACCGAUGGCGAAGGCAGCUUCCUGGCAUAAUAUUGACACUGAGAUUCGAAAGCGUGGGUAGCAAACAGGAUUAGAUACCCUGGUAGUCCACGCCGUAAACGAUGUCUACUAGCCGUUGGGGUCCUUGAGACUUUAGUGGCGCAGUUAACGCGAUAAGUAGACCGCCUGGGGAGUACGGCCGCAAGGUUAAAACUCAAAUGAAUUGACGGGGGCCCGCACAAGCGGUGGAGCAUGUGGUUUAAUUCGAUGCAACGCGAAGAACCUUACCUGGUCUUGACAUAGUGAGAAUCCUGCAGAGAUGCGGGAGUGCCUUCGGGAAUUCACAUACAGGUGCUGCAUGGCUGUCGUCAGCUCGUGUCGUGAGAUGUUGGGUUAAGUCCCGCAACGAGCGCAACCCUUUUCCUUAUUUGCCAGCGGGUUAAGCCGGGAACUUUAAGGAUACUGCCAGUGACAAACUGGAGGAAGGCGGGGACGACGUCAAGUCAUCAUGGCCCUUACGACCAGGGCUACACACGUGCUACAAUGGUAGGUACAGAGGGUUGCUACACAGCGAUGUGAUGCUAAUCUCAAAAAGCCUAUCGUAGUCCGGAUUGGAGUCUGCAACUCGACUCCAUGAAGUCGGAAUCGCUAGUAAUCGCAGAUCAGAAUGCUGCGGUGAAUACGUUCCCGGGCCUUGUACACACCGCCCGUCACACCAUGGGAGUCUAUUGCACCAGAAGUAGGUAGCCUAACGCAAGAGGG
This 1394-nucleotide ribosomal RNA is filed under the name Moraxella sp. RNAcentral's name for it is "bacterial SSU rRNA". It matches the Rfam family "Bacterial small subunit ribosomal RNA". The record is from RNAcentral. Lineage: Bacteria; Pseudomonadati; Pseudomonadota; Gammaproteobacteria; Moraxellales; Moraxellaceae.